UACAGAGGUCUCAAGCGUUGUUCGGAUUCAUUGGGCGUAAAGGGCGCGUAGGCGGCUUUGUAAGUCCGUUGUGAAAUCCCUCGGCUCAACCGAGGAACUGCGACGGAUACUGCUUGGCUUGAGUCCCGGAGAGGGUAGCGGAAUUCCCAGUGUAGCGGUGAAAUGCGUAGAUAUUGGGAGGAACAUCGGUGGCGAAGGCGGCUACCUGGACGGGUACUGACGCUGAUGCGCGAAAGCUAGGGGAGCAAACAGG
RNAcentral lists this ribosomal RNA (253 nucleotides) under uncultured bacterium. RNAcentral's name for it is "partial 16S ribosomal RNA". It matches the Rfam family "Bacterial small subunit ribosomal RNA", at positions 524 to 776 of the family's 1533-position model. The record is from RNAcentral.